UACGGAGGGUGCAAGCGUUAUCCGGAUUCACUGGGUUAAAGGGUGCGUAGGCGGCUAAAUAAGUCAGUGGUGAAAGCCCGCAGCUCAACUGCGGAAUUGCCAUUGAAACUGUCUAGCUUGAAUCUGGUUGAAGUGGGCGGAAUACAUCAUGUAGCGGUGAAAUGCUUAGAUAUGAUGUAGAACACCGAUUGCGAAGGCAGCUCACUAAGCCAACAUUGACGCUGAGGCACGAAAGCGUGGGUAGCGAACAGG
RNAcentral lists this ribosomal RNA (252 nucleotides) under uncultured bacterium. RNAcentral describes it as "partial 16S ribosomal RNA". It matches the Rfam family "Bacterial small subunit ribosomal RNA", at positions 524 to 776 of the family's 1533-position model. The record is from RNAcentral.